AUUUUCGUAAAUUGCAUACAUGGGCGUAGGAGCCGUAUGGGCAGGGUGGGCAGCUGCCCACCCAGAAAUUUCCCUGGGUGGGCCAUGCCCCUUUGUUGAAGAGAUUAAAAAUUUUAUUGCUCUAUUAAAAUUUCGUGUAGGAUAAUUUUAAGGGCAAAACAAUAGUUUUUCACUAACAAUUGACCUUUCUAGUCUAAGAGAGGA
This is a long non-coding RNA of Chrysoperla carnea, 204 nucleotides long. RefSeq lists it as uncharacterized. NCBI's taxonomy places the organism in Eukaryota, Metazoa, Arthropoda, Insecta, Neuroptera, Chrysopidae. The transcript has 3 exons. The record is from RefSeq and is a predicted model, not a curated record.